AGUAACGCGUGGGUAACCUGCCUCACACAGGGGGAGUAGCAGUUGGAAACGGCUGAUAAUACCGCAUAAGCGCACAGCUUCGCAUGAAGCAGUGUGAAAAACUCCGGUGGUACAAGAUGGACCCGCGUCUGAUUAGCUGGUUGGUGAGGUAACGGCCCACCAAGGCGACGAUCAGUAGCCGGCCUGAGAGGGUGAACAGCCACAUUGGGACUGAGACACGGCCCAA
Molecule: ribosomal RNA, 226 nt
Filed under: uncultured bacterium
Lineage: Bacteria
Description: partial 16S ribosomal RNA
Rfam family: Bacterial small subunit ribosomal RNA
Source: RNAcentral